GAAUGGAUUCGCAAGGAGGUAAAACGAAAUACGUUAAGGUGGAAGGAAUUUGUUCAAAUCUUUUGUUUCGAUUAAAGAUUUAUUACAAGUCUGAUAUUUUUUUGUCUUUUUCGUUACUCCUAAUUUAGGGAGGAUUUGUUAAUCCGAAAAUAGAGAU
This 157-nucleotide non-coding RNA is filed under the name Corethron pennatum. The record is from RNAcentral. Lineage: Eukaryota; Bacillariophyta; Corethrophyceae; Corethrales; Corethraceae.